AGUGAGCGCUGGCGGUAGGCCUAACACAUGCAAGUCGAACGGCAGCACAGUAAGAGCUUGCUCUUACGGGUGGCGAGUGGCGGACGGGUGGGGAAUACAUCGGAAUCUACUUUUUCGUGGGGGGUAACGUAGGGAAACUUACGCUAAUACCGCAUACGACCUACGGGUGAAAGCAGGGGAUCUUCGGACCUUGCGCGAUUGAAUGAGCCGAUGUCGGAUUAGCUAGUUGGCGGGGUAAAGGCCCACCAAGGCGACGAUCCGUAGCUGGUCUGAGAGGAUGAUCAGCCACACUGGAACUGAGACACGGUCCAGACUCCUACGGGAGGCAGCAGUGGGGAAUAUUGGACAAUGGGCGCAAGCCUGAUCCAGCCAUACCGCGUGGGUGAAGAAGGCCUUCGGGUUGUAAAGCCCUUUUGUUGGGAAAGAAAAGCAGCAGGUUAAUACCCCGCUGUUCUGACGGUACCCAAAGAAUAAGCACCGGCUAACUUCGUG
Molecule: ribosomal RNA, 492 nt
Filed under: uncultured bacterium
Lineage: Bacteria
Description: partial 16S ribosomal RNA
Rfam family: Bacterial small subunit ribosomal RNA
Source: RNAcentral